GACGAACGCUGGCGGCGUGCUUAACACAUGCAAGUCGAACGGAAACGCCCUGCUUUUGUGCGGUGCUCGAGUGGCGAUCGGGUGAGUAACACGUGAGUAACCUGCCCUUGAUUUUGGGAUAACUUCAGGAAAGUGGGGCUACUACCGGAUAGGAGAUCCUGUUCCAUGGUGGGCGUUGGAAAGUUUCGGCGGUUGGGGAUGGACGCGCGGCUUAUCAGCUUGUUGGUGGGGUAGUGGCUUACCAAGGCUUUGACGGGUAGCCGGCCUGGGAGGGUGACCGGCCACAUUGGGCCUGAGAUACGGCCCAGACUCCUACGGGAGGCAACGGUGGGGAGUAUUGCACAAUGGGCGGAAGCCUGAUGCAGCAACGCCGCGUGCGGGAUGACGGCCUUCGGGUUGUAAACCGCUGUCGCCUGUGACGAAGCGUGAGUGACGGUAAUGGGUGAAGAAGCACCGGCUAACUACGUG
RNAcentral lists this ribosomal RNA (468 nucleotides) under uncultured bacterium. Its description in RNAcentral is "partial 16S ribosomal RNA". It matches the Rfam family "Bacterial small subunit ribosomal RNA", at positions 28 to 507 of the family's 1533-position model. The record is from RNAcentral.